This 225-nucleotide ribosomal RNA is filed under the name uncultured bacterium. RNAcentral describes it as "partial 16S ribosomal RNA". It matches the Rfam family "Bacterial small subunit ribosomal RNA", at positions 28 to 241 of the family's 1533-position model. The record is from RNAcentral.
GACGAACGCUGGCGGCGUGCUUAACACAUGCAAGUCGAGGGCACUUUGGGGGCAACUCUGGAGUGACCGGCGAACGGGUGCGUAACACGUGAGCGACCUUGCCUCGUGGUGGGGGAUAGCCGGCCCAACGGCCGGGUAAUACCGCAUAUGGUGCUUCUCUCGCAUGGGAGAGGUAGCAAAGCUGAGUCGCAAGACUUGGCGCCACAGGGGGGCGUCNCGGCCGUA